This 348-nucleotide long non-coding RNA is filed under the name Homo sapiens (human). Its description in RNAcentral is "HSALNT0316572". Lineage: Eukaryota; Metazoa; Chordata; Mammalia; Primates; Hominidae. The record is from RNAcentral.
GAUUGUGGUGGUGGAGCUAAUGACAUGUGUGCAGAAACUCUUCUGAAUGGGACUUCCCUGAUCCUGUUUUUACCUGAUCUUCAUGCUCAAUAGAAAAAGCCUCAGCUUUGGAAUCAGCUUCCCAGUGAACACCGAGAGUUGAGUUUAGCAACUGUUUGGACUGGCCAUGUAACAGGGCCGUCCAGGUAGCAUGGCAUGGUACUGGAACACUAUGUCUUCUCUCUGACCUCUCGGAAUAUCUCUGUGAUUCAAUGUGUUGGCCCAUUGGAGGCCCUGGCCAGGAAUAUUUAAGGAUUCCCAUUGUUUCACACUCUUGACAGCACUUGGUAUUGUCAGACUUCAACACAA